This 253-nucleotide ribosomal RNA is filed under the name uncultured bacterium. RNAcentral's name for it is "partial 16S ribosomal RNA". It matches the Rfam family "Archaeal small subunit ribosomal RNA", at positions 474 to 727 of the family's 1478-position model. The record is from RNAcentral.
UACCAGCACCCCGAGUGGUCGGGACGAUUAUUGGGCCUAAAGCAUCCGUAGCCGGUUCUGCAAGUCCUCCGUUAAAUCCAACUGCUUAACAGAUGGGCCGCGGAGGAUACUAUAGAGCUAGGAGGCGGGAGAGGCAAGCGGUACUCGAUGGGUAGGGGUAAAAUCCGUUGAUCCAUUGAAGACCACCAGUGGCGAAGGCGGCUUGCCAGAACGCGCUCGACGGUGAGGGAUGAAAGCUGGGGGAGCAAACCGG